This 499-nucleotide ribosomal RNA is filed under the name uncultured bacterium. RNAcentral's name for it is "partial 16S ribosomal RNA". It matches the Rfam family "Bacterial small subunit ribosomal RNA", at positions 899 to 1397 of the family's 1533-position model. The record is from RNAcentral.
ACUCAAAUGAAUAGACGGGGGCCCGCACAAGCGGUGGAGCAUGUGGUUUAAUUCGACGCAACGCGCAGAACCUUACCAGCCCUUGACAUGUCCAGGACCGGCACCAGAGAUGGAGCCUUCUCUUCGGAGCCUGGAGCACAGGUGCUGCAUGGCUGUCGUCAGCUCGUGUCGUGAGAUGUUGGGUUAAGUCCCGCAACGAGCGCAACCCCCGUCUUUAGUUGCUACCAUUUAGUUGAGCACUCUAAAGAGACUGCCGGUGAUAAGCCGCGAGGAAGGUGGGGAUGACGUCAAGUCCUCAUGGCCCUUACGGGCUGGGCUACACACGUGCUACAAUGGCGGUGACAAUGGGAUGCAAAGGGGCGACCCCUCGCAAAUCUCAAAAAGCCGUCUCAGUUCGGAUUGGGCUCUGCAACUCGAGCCCAUGAAGUUGGAAUCGCUAGUAAUCGUGGAUCAGCAUGCCACGGUGAAUACGUUCCCGGGCCUUGCACACACCGCCCGU